Molecule: non-coding RNA, 31 nt
Filed under: Homo sapiens (human)
Lineage: Eukaryota; Metazoa; Chordata; Mammalia; Primates; Hominidae
Source: RNAcentral
CAGAACACUCAAAGAUAACGCAUAGAUGGGA